This 119-nucleotide ribosomal RNA is filed under the name Mastacembelus armatus (zig-zag eel). Lineage: Eukaryota; Metazoa; Chordata; Actinopteri; Synbranchiformes; Mastacembelidae. The record is from RNAcentral.
AAUGGCGGCCAUGCCAUCCUGUGGGUGGCCAAUCCCGUCAGACCUUGGAAGUUAAGCAUGGCCAGGCCUGAUUAGUAAAUGAAUGGGAUACCGCCUUGGAAGGCCACGGGCCUCUAGAC